GACGAACGCUGGCGGCGUGCCUAAUACAUGCAAGUCGAACGAGAGCGACCGGUGCUUGCACUGGUCAAUCUAGUGGCGAACGGGUGAGUAACACGUGGGUAACCUGCCCAUCAGAGGGGGAUAACAUCAGGAAACGGAUGCUAAAACCGCAUAGGUCUUAGAACCGCAUGGUUUGAAGAGGAAAAGAGGAGCAGGCUUCUGCUGAUGGAUGGACCCGCGGUGCAUUAGCUAGUUGGUGAGGUAACGGCUCACCAAGGCCGUGAUGCAUAGCUGACCUGAGAGGGUGAUCGGCCACAUUGGGACUGAGACACGGCCCAAACUCCUACGGGAGGCAGCAGUAGGGAAUCUUCCGCAAUGGACGCAAGUCUGACGGAGCAACGCCGCGUGAGUGAAGAAGGUCUUCGGAUCGUAAAGCUCUGUUGUUUGAGAAGAACAGGUGCUAGAGUAACUGUUAGCGCCUUGACGGUAUCUAACCAGAAAGCCACGGCUAACUACGUG
This 498-nucleotide ribosomal RNA is filed under the name uncultured bacterium. Its description in RNAcentral is "partial 16S ribosomal RNA". It matches the Rfam family "Bacterial small subunit ribosomal RNA", at positions 28 to 507 of the family's 1533-position model. The record is from RNAcentral.